UACGUAGGGGGCAAGCGUUGUCCGGAAUCAUUGGGCGUAAAGAGCGCGUAGGCGGUCCGGUAAGUCCGCUGUGAAAGUCAAGGGCUCAACCCUUGAAUGCCGGUGGAUACUGUCGGGCUAGAGUCCGGAAGAGGCGAGUGGAAUUCCUGGUGUAGCGGUGAAAUGCGCAGAUAUCAGGAGGAACACCGGUGGCGAAGGCGGGUCUCUGGGCCGAUACUGACGCUGAGGAGCGAAAGCGUGGGGAGCGAACAGG
RNAcentral lists this ribosomal RNA (253 nucleotides) under uncultured bacterium. RNAcentral describes it as "partial 16S ribosomal RNA". It matches the Rfam family "Bacterial small subunit ribosomal RNA", at positions 524 to 776 of the family's 1533-position model. The record is from RNAcentral.